ACAACUAAGAGAAUAAGAGAUUGUUUCAUACAUGCUUGCUGGUCUAGAUUUAGAUUAUGAUGCGUUGGUUACAUUGAUCAUUACAAGAUUCGAUCCCAUAUCAUUCGCUGAUCUUUAUGCACACAUGUUGAGCUUUGGAC
This is a small nucleolar RNA of Dioscorea cayenensis subsp. rotundata (Guinea yam), 140 nucleotides long. RefSeq annotates it as small nucleolar RNA Z247. NCBI's taxonomy places the organism in Eukaryota, Viridiplantae, Streptophyta, Magnoliopsida, Dioscoreales, Dioscoreaceae. The transcript has a single exon. The record is from RefSeq and is a predicted model, not a curated record.